RNAcentral lists this ribosomal RNA (522 nucleotides) under uncultured Bacillota bacterium. RNAcentral's name for it is "bacterial SSU rRNA". It matches the Rfam family "Bacterial small subunit ribosomal RNA", at positions 384 to 896 of the family's 1533-position model. Lineage: Bacteria; Bacillati; Bacillota. The record is from RNAcentral.
UGACGGAGCAACGCCGCGUGAGUGAUGAAGGUUUUCGGAUCGUAAAACUCUGUUGUUAGGGAAGAACAAGUACCGUUCGAAUAGGGCGGUACCUUGACGGUACCUAACCAGAAAGCCACGGCUAACUACGUGCCAGCAGCCGCGGUAAUACGUAGGUGGCAAGCGUUGUCCGGAAUUAUUGGGCGUAAAGCGCGCGCAGGUGGUUUCUUAAGUCUGAUGUGAAAGCCCACGGCUCAACCGUGGAGGGUCAUUGGAAACUGGGGAACUUGAGUGCAGAAGAGGAAAGUGGAAUUCCAAGUGUAGCGGUGAAAUGCGUAGAUAUUUGGAGGAACACCAGUGGCGAAGGCGACUUUCUGGUCUGUAACUGACACUGAGGCGCGAAAGCGUGGGGAGCAAACAGGAUUAGAUACCCUGGUAGUCCACGCCGUAAACGAUGAGUGCUAAGUGUUAGAGGGUUUCCGCCCUUUAGUGCUGCAGCUAACGCAUUAAGCACUCCGCCUGGGGAGUACGGUCGCAAGACUG